Molecule: ribosomal RNA, 351 nt
Filed under: Triticum aestivum (bread wheat)
Lineage: Eukaryota; Viridiplantae; Streptophyta; Magnoliopsida; Poales; Poaceae
Description: partial small subunit ribosomal RNA
Source: RNAcentral
AUGGCGCGGUCUAUGAUGUCUCUUACCAAUUUCCCACUAUCGUUUUGGGGUUAUGCAUUAGAGACAGCUGCAUUCACGUUAAAUAGGGCACCGUCUAAAUCCGUUGAGACGACACCGUAUGAACUGUCGUUUGGCAAGAAACCUAAACUGUCGUUUCUUAAAGUUUGGGGUUACGACACUUAUGUCAAAAGGCUUCAGCCUGAUAAGCUCGAAUCCAAAUCGGAGAUGCGCGUCUUCAUAGAAUACCCUAAGAAACAAUUGGGUAUAUCUUCUACCACAGAUCCGAAGGCAAUAUCUUUAUUGCCAAGAAUGAAACAUUUCUGGAUAAGGAGUUUCUCUCGAAAUAAGUGA